RNAcentral lists this ribosomal RNA (180 nucleotides) under uncultured eukaryote. Its description in RNAcentral is "partial 16S ribosomal RNA". It matches the Rfam family "Bacterial small subunit ribosomal RNA", at positions 337 to 531 of the family's 1533-position model. The record is from RNAcentral.
UCCUACGGGAGGCAGCAGUGGGGAAUUUUCCGCAAUGGACGAAAGUCUGACGGAGCGACGCUGCGUGAAGGAUGACGGCCCGCGGGUUGUAAACUUCUUUUCUCGAAGAAGAAACAAAUGACGGUAUUCGAGGAAUAAGCAUCGGCUNACUCCGUGCCAGCAGCCGCGGUAAUACGGGAG